This 249-nucleotide unclassified non-coding RNA is filed under the name Rhizophagus sp. (in: glomeromycetes). RNAcentral's name for it is "partial contains 5.8S ribosomal RNA and internal transcribed spacer 2". The stretch from base 1 to 65 matches the Rfam family "5.8S ribosomal RNA", at positions 84 to 154 of the family's 154-position model. Lineage: Eukaryota; Fungi; Glomeromycota; Glomeromycetes; Glomerales; Glomeraceae. The record is from RNAcentral.
GUGAAUCAUCGAAUUUUUGAACGCAAAUUGCACUCUCUUCUGAGAGGAUGCCUGUUUGAGGGUCAGUAUUAAUAAAAAUCGGUGUGUUGCGUCUUUGUGACGCUCCGGAGUUUGAUUCAUCUUAAUAUCCUUUAGGUUUUGAGAGGCUUAAAAUUGACUUUUUUUGCUCAUUUUAGAUGUACAUAAAUUUUUUUGUUUUUUCUGCUGUCUUAAUUUUCAAAAGCCUAUUAGAUGCGACCAUAUCGGGUU